Molecule: ribosomal RNA, 220 nt
Filed under: Acinetobacter haemolyticus
Lineage: Bacteria; Pseudomonadati; Pseudomonadota; Gammaproteobacteria; Moraxellales; Moraxellaceae
Description: partial 16S ribosomal RNA
Rfam family: Bacterial small subunit ribosomal RNA
Source: RNAcentral
ACUCCAUGAAGUCGGAAUCGCUAGUAAUCGCGGAUCAGAAUGCCGCGGUGAAUACGUUCCCGGGCCUUGUACACACCGCCCGUCACACCAUGGGAGUUUGUUGCACCAGAAGUAGGUAGUCUAACCGCAAGGAGGACGCUUACCACGGUGUGGCCGAUGACUGGGGUGAAGUCGUAACAAGGUAGCCGUAGGGGAACCUGCGGCUGGAUCACCUCCUUAA